Molecule: ribosomal RNA, 172 nt
Filed under: Citrobacter freundii
Lineage: Bacteria; Pseudomonadati; Pseudomonadota; Gammaproteobacteria; Enterobacterales; Enterobacteriaceae
Description: partial 16S ribosomal RNA
Source: RNAcentral
UAGCCGGUGCUUCUUCUGCGAGUANCGUCAAUUGCUGNGGUUAUUAACCACAACGCCUUCCUCCUCNCUGAAAGUACUUUACAACCCGAAGGCCUUCUUCAUACACGCGGCAUGGCUGCAUCAGGCUUGCGCCCAUUGUGCAAUAUUCCCCACUGCUGCCUCCCGUAGGAGU